AGGAGAAGAAAGUAAAGAGCACCAAAGUGGAAGCAAAAGUUAAAAAGGAAGUGAAGGAUGGAAAAGGAGAAGCAAAGAUGCCUGAGAAGGUCAAGCAGACAGAAACUAAAACAACAGAAGUUGGGUUAAUAAAGGCCAAACCGAAAGUUAAGGAGGAGAAAGCACUUCAGACUGUAACUAAAUCGGAAAAGAAAGAUCAAUAUGCAUUCUGUCGCUAUGUGAUUGACAUGUUUGCGCAAGGGGAUUUUUAUCCAGGACAUAAGGGAAUGGUAUCACCUCGUCUUCUUCUAGAACAUAGUCCAAGAAAGAAAACAGCAGCUAUUGAAGAAGAGAAGUCUAUUGUGGUAGCUAAGGAAGUGAAAAAAAGAAAGGAUGAAAAGAAAAGGACUGAUAUAAAGAGGUCUGUUACUGAAACUAAGAAGAAAGAAAAAGAAGGAAAAAAAGAGAAAGCUCAUGAGAAGACAGCUGUCCCUGAAAUUAAAAAAGCAGAUAAAAAAGAAGCUGCUGUGUCCAAAGAACUCAAAAAGCCAGCAAAAUACCCUGCAGCUAAUCCAUCCACCAAAAAAGCAGUAAUACCAGAAACACACAGGAAAGAAAAAAUGGUGGAUACUGCCAAAACAGCAAAGAAAGAAUCAAAAGUACAUGCAUCUGUGGAAACUCUGAAGUCAAAAGUACCUGAAAAGAAGGAAGAAAAAGCAAUGAAGGCAGGAGAGCAAGAUAAACCAAAGAUGAAACAAGCAAAUCCUGGAAAAGACAAAGAAUUGAAAUCUCCAGCUGCUACAAAAGAUAAAGAACACACUAAAGAAAAGGAAGGAAAGAAUCCUGCAGAUUUAAAAGAUAAAGAGUCUCUGAAAGGAAAAAAUCCCAAGAAUCCAGAGGGGUCAAAGGAUAAAGAGACUGGUAAAAGAAAAGAUGUGAGGCCUUCAGCAGUCUUAAAGGAAAAGGGAAAAGAAAUGAAGGUUUCAACUACAACUAAGGAGAAAGCUGCGGUGAAAAAGGAAGGGGAGAAGAAAGGUACUUCAGAAAAAACUCAUGAACACAAGGAGAAAAUUAAACAACCAAAGACAGCUCCCACUGAGAAGUCAGCCCAGGCAAAACCAGCAAAGCAUGAAACGAUCAGGCAUGAAAAGGAUGUUCCAACUACAAAACCAGUCAAACUGAAAACAACUGCAAAGCCAACAGGUGAAAUUCCAAUAACAGCCCUGAAAAAAACAAAGACUUCUAAGGACAAAGAAGGUAGGCAGUUACUCUGUGUGUGCAUAUAUAUGUAG
RNAcentral lists this long non-coding RNA (1271 nucleotides) under Anas platyrhynchos platyrhynchos (common mallard). RNAcentral describes it as "lncRNA (ENSAPLG00000014385.2)". The record is from RNAcentral. Lineage: Eukaryota; Metazoa; Chordata; Aves; Anseriformes; Anatidae.